Molecule: long non-coding RNA, 3236 nt
Organism: Canis lupus familiaris (dog)
Lineage: Eukaryota; Metazoa; Chordata; Mammalia; Carnivora; Canidae
Exons: 4
Source: RefSeq, a predicted model, not a curated record
GCAGGUCAGGUCUGUGGAAGAGCUCAAGGCCCCUACCCUGAGGAGGUCAGAUGCCAAGGCCCUUCUGCCUCAGGUCCAGAUCUGACAAGUUGAGGACCCAGACUCAGGGUCAGGGAAGCAGAAUUACAAGUCUGGGGAGGGGAUGGUCUGAGGAAGAACUCACCGCUUGGCUGCAGGCUCUCAGCUGCUCACUCUCCCCAGAACAUCUUGGGACAGGGCUACUGGGAGCAAAAAGACUCCAGAGGGAACUGGAGUGGGGACCAUCACUCAGCAGAGGCAACCAGCCAUCUGGGUAAUGGGGAGCAGACUCCAUGACGGGCCUGUGAAGAUUCCCCCCGGGUCUCCAGUGCUCCUGGCUCUGGUGGCCUCUGCCCCGAGGGACAGAAAGGAAGGGAUUAGGGUGUCUCUCGGCCCCCCGGAGACUGGCCCAACCCUGGGCAUUUGGUAUUCUUGGCUGAGGGGACACGUGGAAGGAGCUACUUUCUCCCAGGGAGGAAAUGGAUGAGGGGGGCUCUGUGCCAGAGCCCUGGGCUCUGGAGUGGGGCCGCGUGGGGGCAGGCCUGGUUCUGGAGGGCACCUCUGUCUGAGCAGUUUCAGGGUUUGGGGGUUCUGCAAGGGAGGAUGGGGGGCGGGUAGACAGUUCCUUAGGAAGGAGCUGAGUCUGAGUUGUGUGGUUUGUAGAGGAUGGUUCUGUUCUUGGAGUCAGGGAUGGAAGAUCUGAGGUCUGGGAGAGCUCAGAUCGGGGCAGCCUCCGAGGGUGCAGGCCAUUCCGAUGCAGCGGCAAAGCAAAGGGCACUCUCCCAUAACCAAACAUUCCUGGCUUGAUGGGGUCUCGAACCCGGGACCUGAGAAGGUAUAGCAGAUGUGGGGUCACAGCUCUGGCCACCUCUGACCCUGUCUCCCUGGCUGGCUUCCUAGCACCAAAGAGGGGCCUCCGGAAGCCACAGCCUGCACAUCCUUGGCUCCAGGCCCUUCAUUCCCGAGCUCCGCCCCCCGAGGCCCCGCCCCUCACCUCCGAGCGCCUGGAAUCUCGGCGGCCUCAGCUCUCCCUGAUUGGGCAGCAGGGCCUCGGCGUGGGCCACCAGCUCCCCGAGGCUGUGGCUUGUACAGGGGGAGGGUUUCUCGGGAAGGCUGGGGUCUGGGGCUCUGACCCCUGGGGAGCAGAGCCUCAGGAUGUCUUGGGGGCCGGGGUGGGAAGGGUAGGCCCUGGUGCAGUUGAGCUGUAGGGAGCUGACAAGUUCGGCUCCUGCGCUGCACCCCGACUCCACAGGGCUGGGAGCAAGAGGUCCACGGGUCCCAAGGACCCCAGACACCCUCAGGCCCCUGACCCUCCUCCGAGGGUGUCUGAAGAGAGCGUCCAGACGAUAUCUAUGUAGACAAGAAGACCAGACAAAAUGAGAAGGAUUUUCGAGGGAACUGUUUGGACGGCUGGUCCAGUACCCGAAGGUCGGGCAGUCGUUACUGGACUGAGGUCACUUUCAGUAGCAGGGGUGAGAUGUGGCCAGGAGGGUGAAAGAGAGGCUGGGAGGGCGAACGUGAGAGGCGCCCCGGCUCAUCUGAAGCCGUGCAGGGCGGCUGCGUGGCCUGGAGAAGUGGGGUGGGAGCCAGGGAGGAAGAAAGGAUCACACCCUCUGGCCCCUGGCUUACCUCCUGCUCCAGGCAGAGCUCCGGGAGGGACAGAAGCAGCAUCAGACAUAACCGGGGCCUGCCAACCAGCCAGAGGAGGUGUUGUGACACCCCCCACCCCGCCCCGCAGCGGGCAGCCAGCAUCCCGGCGCCAGCUUCUCAGAAAGCAGAAGUUGCCCAUCACUUGCCCCCGCCCUGCCCAGCAGUGGCCGUCCCCUCACUUCCAGGGACAGAGUGGCCCUCCGGCUGGCAGCCCCACACUUACCUGCCCGCCCACUUCUCCAUCGCUCCUCCCUGGAUGCCCGGGGCAGGGGACAGAGGACCGGGAGUAAACACACUACUCCCGCAUCUGGGCGCUGAGAGGGCACGCUCUGUGGGGACAGGAGCCAUGUGGUCACUUCUCCAGGCGCCAGAAAGCCAGGGGGUUGGCACGGAGGGCUACUCAGAAGGGCAUCUCUGAGAGAGGAUGGAGGGGUGUGGGGGGAGUGGUCCACCCCCUCUGACCUUAAGGGUGAGAGCAGGAAGGAAUGCUGCCCUUCCUGGGCCGCUGAGGCUGGAAGGUGGGGGGCUGACCUCAGCCUCCAGACCGUGGCUCAGUGGCUCAGUCCCCUCCUGUCAGCCUGCAGGAACUCCUCAGCUCCUCCCUCCUCCCCACUAGGGAUUGUUUACAGGACAGCUUGGGCCACACAGCACACGCUCUUCCUGAAGAUGAUUCUGAUCUGGUUUGCCCUCCUCCCUCCCAGAGGACCCCGAUGGCCGAGGGAGGCAUGGGUGACAACAUGUGGGACACCCACUCCAAGGAGUGGACCAGAAGCCCCAUGGGAGUUCCUUUCCCUACCUGCCACCCAGCUCUUUCUCCCAUUUUUAACGAAGCUCCUUCUGGAACACUCAGGCAUCUCUGCCGGACUCAAACACUUUGUAGCCAAGAGAUAAACUAAGUGGGCUGAUGAUUUAAUCUCUGGAGAAGCAGGAAAAAAAAAAAAAAAUGUUUCUGUUGGAUCUGAAAGGCACCCAGGAGAGGAAUCCAAGGAGCUGAUGCCGAGGUGGGCCAGCUCGGGGGCAGGAGAAUGAGACGGAAGGGCAGGAAUGUACUUGGCGUCUUCGGGCUGAGCUGGAUCAAGGGCAACCCCCGGCACCGGUCCCAGCGUCCCUGGCCCCAACCCCGAGACUUAAGGGGGUGGCAGAGGCACACAUCCUCGAAGGAGCACCCUCCCGGAGGAGGAGGGCAGGAGGCGCCAGCGCGUGCGGGGAGGUCCUGGGGCGUGUAGCAGAAGAAAUGCGCUGACUUAGGAGUCAGAGGAUCUGGAUGUGCAUCUUAGCUCCAGGAGGCGCCAGCUGUGUGACCCUGGGUGAAGACUUCAACCUUUCUGUGCUGCAGUUUCCUUGUCUGUAAAAUGGAACUAAUCUGACGUGUCUGAUGGGCUGGGAGAUAGGGCUGCCCACCCGGAUCUGGAGGAAUGCACCCCAGACUCAGGGUGGUCACACUGGGGAGCAAAAAAAAAAAAAAAAAUAGGCUUUAGCUUUUUACCCUGUCCGCUUAUGUAUUGUUUGAGUUUUCACCCAGAAGCUCUAUGUUUAGUUACGUUAAUAAAUAAAUAAUUUAUACAACA